Molecule: ribosomal RNA, 253 nt
Filed under: uncultured bacterium
Lineage: Bacteria
Description: partial 16S ribosomal RNA
Rfam family: Bacterial small subunit ribosomal RNA
Source: RNAcentral
UACAGAGGGUGCGAGCGUUGUCCGGAAUCACUGGGCGUAAAGGGCGUGUAGGCGGCUCGGUAAGCAGCGUGUGAAAGCCCGGGGCUCAACCCCGGAACGGCACGCUGGACUGUCGGGCUCGAGACUGGUAGAGGCGAGUGGAAUUCCUGGUGUAGCGGUGGAAUGCGUAGAGAUCAGGAAGAACACCGGUGGCGAAGGCGGCUCGCUGGGCCAGUUCUGACGCUGAGGCGCGAAAGCGUGGGGAGCAAACAGG